AUGUAUUAGAUCAUGCAUUUUACAAUUAACACGACCAGGAUAUUCAAACAAAUCUUGGAAGAAACACCUAGAACAUAGCUCUUUAAAAUAUCGCAAGCCAACAUCUUCUAAGUCUUCAUUCUCAUUGGAAGAUUGAAGAAAUCCAUUUGCCAUCCAAAAACAAACCAAUUCAAUGUCGUCGAAUUCAUAAUCUUUGGGAAAAAUUGAAC
RNAcentral lists this unclassified non-coding RNA (209 nucleotides) under Hevea brasiliensis (rubber tree). The record is from RNAcentral. Lineage: Eukaryota; Viridiplantae; Streptophyta; Magnoliopsida; Malpighiales; Euphorbiaceae.